CCUACGGGGGGCAGCAGUGGGGAAUAUUGCACAAUGGGGGAAACCCUGAUGCAGCGACGCCGCGUGAGUGAAGAAGUAUCUCGGUAUGUAAACCUCUAUCAGCAGGGAAGAAAAUGACGGUACCUGACUCAGAAGCCCCGGCUAACUACGUGCCAGCAGCCGCUGUAAUACGUAGGGGGCAAGCGUUAUCCGGAUUUAAUGGGUGUAAAGGGGGCGUAGGAGGCUGCACAAGUCUGGAGUGAAAUGCCGGGGCUUAACCUCGGAACUGCUGUGGAAACUGGGCAGCUAGAGUGCAGGAGAGGUAAGUGGAAUGCCUGGUGUAGCGGUGAAAUGCGUAGAUAUUAGGAGGAACACCAGUGGCGAAGGCAGCUUACUGGACUGUAACUGACGCUGAGGCGCGAAAGCGUGGGGAGCAAACAGGAUUAGAUACCCCUGUAGUC
This 440-nucleotide ribosomal RNA is filed under the name uncultured bacterium. Its description in RNAcentral is "partial 16S ribosomal RNA". It matches the Rfam family "Bacterial small subunit ribosomal RNA", at positions 338 to 795 of the family's 1533-position model. The record is from RNAcentral.